Molecule: microRNA, 23 nt
Filed under: Bos taurus (domestic cattle)
Lineage: Eukaryota; Metazoa; Chordata; Mammalia; Artiodactyla; Bovidae
Description: bta-miR-11984
Source: miRBase by way of RNAcentral
ACACGCGUCCUUGGAUCCUGACU